This 404-nucleotide ribosomal RNA is filed under the name uncultured bacterium. Its description in RNAcentral is "bacterial SSU rRNA". It matches the Rfam family "Bacterial small subunit ribosomal RNA", at positions 355 to 776 of the family's 1533-position model. The record is from RNAcentral.
UGGGGAAUCUUAGACAAUGGGCGCAAGCCUGAUCUAGCCAUGCCGCGUGGGUGAUGAAGGCCUUAGGGUCGUAAAGCCCUUUCGCCGGGGAAGAUAAUGACGGUACCCGGUAAAGAAACCCCGGCUAACUCCGUGCCAGCAGCCGCGGUAAUACGGAGGGGGUUAGCGUUGUUCGGAAUGACUGGGCGUAAAGCGCGCGUAGGCGGGCUGGAAAGUCAGAGGUGAAAGCCCGGGGCUCAACCCCGGAAUGGCCUUUGAAACUCCCAGCCUUGAGUUCGAGAGAGGUGAGUGGAAUUCCGAGUGUAGAGGUGAAAUUCGUAGAUAUUCGGAGGAACACCAGUGGCGAAGGCGGCUCACUGGCUCGACACUGACGCUGAGGUGCGAAAGCGUGGGGAGCAAACAGG